Molecule: long non-coding RNA, 552 nt
Filed under: Ananas comosus (pineapple)
Lineage: Eukaryota; Viridiplantae; Streptophyta; Magnoliopsida; Poales; Bromeliaceae
Description: long non-coding RNA (ACOM_LNC039565)
Source: RNAcentral
AUUGUAACAAAAUCCAAUUUAGCCCCUCAACUUUCCAUCCAUUGCACUGCCCUCACUAGGCAUUCUGCACCCAGAGGGACCGGUCCCUCGUCGGGGAGACCGGUCCCCGAGAGCAGUCCCCACGACCAGAAGGCUUCCUCGCGUUCGGGAAUCGAUCUCUCCUCGGGAGACCGGUCUUCGCCUGAGAGACCGGUCCCCGAGAGCUCGAUUUUCAGGACUUAGCCGAUUUUGGCCUUCUCUCGCUGGCGUCGCACACGGGGACCGGUCCCCUCAGCCAGGGACCGGUUGCAUCAAAGAUCCCCAGCAACCACCAGCCUCGGGGACCGGUCUCUCCCUGCCACAGACCGGUCCCCGAGAGCAAUUUUAGCCCAGUGUAGGUUUUGCACUAUAUGCUCUCGCGGAUACGUUUCCAAUGCACUUUUUGUGUUUUGGACAACUUUAGCUUUUCCGAAGGAUACUCACUCGACAAUUAGUCGAUCCUGGACGAAGUACAACUCUCGAAUUUUGAGAAUUCACUUCCUUACACUAACCAUCUACGCUGUCUCAAGUUCA